GGGGCCUUAGCUCAGCUGGGAGAGCACCUGCCUUACAAGCAGGGGGUCGGCGGUUCGAUCCCGCUAGGCUCCC
RNAcentral lists this transfer RNA (73 nucleotides) under Bacillus thuringiensis serovar kurstaki str. HD-1. RNAcentral describes it as "tRNA-Val (TAC) (tRNA-Val-TAC-3-1)". It matches the Rfam family "tRNA". From Rfam's summary of the family: Transfer RNA (tRNA) molecules are approximately 80 nucleotides in length. Lineage: Bacteria; Bacillati; Bacillota; Bacilli; Caryophanales; Bacillaceae. The record is from RNAcentral.